GCCGCCAUGUCGUGCCGUGAGGAGCCGCGACGGCUGCGCUGCGGUCGGCUGUAGGCGGCGCAGCGUGGAAGGGCUGCGGUUUCGUUUAUCCCCGCGUGGUCAGGCUGUGCGCCAGCGCAGGCGUUACCUAGGCUUCACGCAAGGUUAAUGCGGAUGGCUCACCAAGGGAAAAACGUAACACUGAGUGACGGGAAAGGGCGGCUUUCUUCGUGUUUCGCUGCAGGUGUCACUGAUAAGCCUGCAGGUGAAAAGGCUGCAGCGCCUCCUGACUGGGAACGCUUGUUUUCCCAGCUGUGUUCCCACGUGAAGUCUUGAGUUUAGUGUCUGUUCAGAGUUUUGCAAAGGGAAUGACACAAUUCUUUUUUGCUAAAUGAUUUUUUUUUUUUUUAAUUCUGCACUCGAAGUGAAGCAUUUGGUGCUGUUUUGGAGCUUUUGUUGGAUUUUUUUUUAUGCACAAGGUGACAGGCAGUACUUCCUCAACGUUCUGCAGCGGGACUUUUGUAUUUCCCUCUUGCCGGUGGGGCUGGAUCUCAGGGUGCACUCUUUCCACUGUUCUUUUGUUACUAAACAGUGUUUUCACCAUUAAUCUGAGCUUAUCCAACGUUACUGCUGCUGAAAGGGGCUUCCCUGCGCCGUGUCACAUGCCUGACCUGCUUUCCUGAUUCCAGCAGCAGUGCCUGCGUGGCUCUACAGUCAUUUCGGCUCAUUCAUCCAGCUGAAAGCUAAGCCACCCUGUAAAGGCAGGGAGAUUUCAGUCAGCUUUUCAGCUGAUUGAAGUAUGUUUAGAUUGCUUCAAAGGUUUUGGUGUUUGAUAGCAGCAGAGUUACACUGCUGAUGGUGAAAACUCGAAGUAAAUCGACUUUAUACAUACUCAGAUUGCCUGCUGCAGCAAGCUAAUGAGACGGAGCCCUGCCCUCGUGUGGGGUACCUUGGGGAGAGGUAAGCCACUGGCAACAGAAGCUGUACAAGCUGUGCCGUGCUGACUAGGAAGGAGGCUGUGAAUCUGGGACUUCAGCAUCUGAGUCAGUACAAGAGGGAGCUCUGCUUCAUAAAAUAUAUAUAUAUAUGCUAAUCUCCCAGAUGGCUACAUCUUCAUGGAACAGAUGACCUGGAAAAUAAAACAAGACUGAAAACACUGGUUAGUGGAAAUUCUGGGCUAAAAUGUGAGUUUCUUAAAGAUUCAUCUUUUGAACUCACAGGUCACAGUAUGAUUUCACACACGCCAAACAGCACUGAUACAUUUAUCAAUAUUCAUAUAAGAAAAAUAAAUCAGAGAAAGUGUUUCAGAUGAGCUUCCUAACUGCACUGGAAGAUACACAGCUAAGAGAAAUUAUGUCUUUCUUUGCUUUACUGGUGACUUCAAUUUACAUGCUAUAUAAUUCAUUGCAUUCCAAACUGCUUGUAUAGCCCGUUUCAUUUGGCAUUGGUGUGUUGGCAGUCCUGCAGAGGAACACCCCACAGAUAACAUUGUGCCACAUUUUUGAAAAUGUAUGUAACAGUAAUAUAAGCAAUUUGAAUAGAGGAUCUGAGAGAAGUUAUUGCAGAGCAAAUACUCCAGUUACUGCUCAGCUAGAACUGACACUAGAACAAACCUUUCAUGAAAGAGUACUGAAAUCUUUACAAUCACUGGUGGCCUCAAUCUUCCUUUUUAUGUUGCAUGUGAAGAAUGAAGCAGCACAGCAUACUUCAGUGGCACUACCAGUUCAGCACUCCCUCAGAGCAUCCAGCUUCCUGCCAAACUGCCAACACUGCCUGUGGCACCAUGGCUUCCCAUAGAAGCCUGUUGCCCAAGGAAUGACUGAAUCUUUCUUUGUGAGGACAGUGAGUUUUUGUUUAAAAAAUGAAACAAAAAACAAGUCAAAACCAAGAGAAGAGCUAGUUCCUGGCUUCAUUUAGGUUUUAAGUUGUCAAAUACUUUGAGUCAGUUUUCAGGUUACUGAAGCCAUCCUUGAAUAACUUCAGAAACACAACACAAGAAUGAAGAAUCCUGCACGUGAACUCAAACCACCAGAGACAGAUAGAAACUUUAUUUGUAAUUCUAAUGGUGCAUUAGAAAUACGACAUAUAAAGACACAACAUCCAUUACUGACACCAGCAUUCAUAUCCGAUUUGUAACUUUAUACCCAAACCAUAACUGUGCUAAAUCUGUCAUUACAAAGUUGUGAAAUUAGAUUAUUUUACUCCAAAUGAAAAGCCAUCUUUCUCCUUACUGAGGCUGAUGUCUUUUUUCUCUAAUAUGUAUUCAGCAAGUUUGCUUGCUACUCAGAAUAAUAAACCUCAGUCUAAAAUAAGACCAAAUAGGUCAGGGCUGUAGUAAUUGUUUUUGUUCAGGUUGUCUUGAGGGAAUAGGCAACAUUUGCCUGCUGCCUCCUUUUAUUCACAAUCACAGUUUAAAUUCUUAACAGAAUCAGUUAGAACAGCCUCUUCAAAAAAAAAAAAGUAUCAGUUUUUACUAGAAAAAUCUUCUUCCUACAUUUUUCUACAGUGUGUCUACCAUAAUGACUAAACUCAAGUGUUAUUCUGAAUACAUUUAAGUACUUCACAAGGCAACUGGAAGGGGAUUUCCUUGUACUUACAUGGAAAUGGACUCAAUUCUGUUUUGAUCUUUCAGCAAGUAUGGGCAGAAAGACACACAGAUCACAUUUUUAUUCUAAUACCAUCCCUAGCAGUACCCAAUCCAUAGAGAGACAAAAAACAGUGAAGAUGAAUUUCAUGCUUUGCUGCUGCAACUAUCUCAACACAUGUGCCUUUUCAUUCCAGAAUUAACUAACUUUAUUUUUUUCUUUCACUAAUUGAUGAGCUCUGGUUCUCCCCACUGUAAAAGAUCUGUACAACUCCAUACAGCUUGAAACUUUCAUAGAACAUGAGAGAAAUACAGUUCUUGGAGUUCUCCUACACAGAUUGCUGAAUGCCAUUGACUCUAAAUGGCACUUAAGUAGUUCUCAAAAUCUAAUAUUAAACAACAUUAACUCUUGAAGGAUACACACCUCCUUUCUCAUAGUGUGGUAUUUUUCCUCUAAAUUAAGUGAUUUUAAUUAAGCAAGAGUAAGGUUCACUGAUGUACAAAUGACAGGCUUUCUACACAUUAGUAUUCCUCAAGUAUGUUUUCCUGCUCUGCUACAUCUGGAGCUUCG
Long non-coding RNA from Phasianus colchicus (ring-necked pheasant), 3134 nucleotides. RefSeq lists it as uncharacterized. NCBI's taxonomy places the organism in Eukaryota, Metazoa, Chordata, Aves, Galliformes, Phasianidae. The record is from RefSeq and is a predicted model, not a curated record.